AGAGUUUGAUCCUGGCUCAGAUUGAACGCUGGCGGCAGGCCUAACACAUGCAAGUCGAACGGUAACAGGAAGAAGCUUGCUUCUUUGCUGACGAGUGGCGGACGGGUGAGUAAUGUCUGGGAAACUGCCUGAUGGAGGGGGAUAACUACUGGAAACGGUAGCUAAUACCGCAUAACGUCGCAAAACCAAAGAGGGGGACCUUCGGGCCUCUUGCCAUCAGAUGUGCCCAGAUGGGAUUAGCUAGUAGGUGGGGUAACGGCUCACCUAGGCGACGAUCCCUAGCUGGUCUGAGAGGAUGACCAGCCACACUGGAACUGAGACACGGUCCAGACUCCUACGGGAGGCAGCAGUGGGGAAUAUUGCACAAUGGGCGCAAGCCUGAUGCAGCCAUGCCGCGUGUAUGAAGAAGGCCUUCGGGUUGUAAAGUACUUUCAGCGGGGAGGAAGGGAGUAAAGUUAAUACCUUUGCUCAUUGACGUUACCCGCAGAAGAAGCACCGGCUAACUCCGUGCCAGCAGCCGCGGUAAUACGGAGGGUGCAAGCGUUAAUCGGAAUUACUGGGCGUAAAGCGCACGCAGGCGGUUUGUUAAGUCAGAUGUGAAAUCCCCGGGCUCAACCUGGGAACUGCAUCUGAUACUGGCAAGCUUGAGUCUCGUAGAGGGGGGUAGAAUUCCAGGUGUAGCGGUGAAAUGCGUAGAGAUCUGGAGGAAUACCGGUGGCGAAGGCGGCCCCCUGGACGAAGACUGACGCUCAGGUGCGAAAGCGUGGGGAGCAAACAGGAUUAGAUACCCUGGUAGUCCACGCCGUAAACGAUGUCGACUUGGAGGUUGUGCCCUUGAGGCGUGGCUUCCGGAGCUAACGCGUUAAGUCGACCGCCUGGGGAGUACGGCCGCAAGGUUAAAACUCAAAUGAAUUGACGGGGGCCCGCACAAGCGGUGGAGCAUGUGGUUUAAUUCGAUGCAACGCGAAGAACCUUACCUGGUCUUGACAUCCACGGAAGUUUUCAGAGAUGAGAAUGUGCCUUCGGGAACCGUGAGACAGGUGCUGCAUGGCUGUCGUCAGCUCGUGUUGUGAAAUGUUGGGUUAAGUCCCGCAACGAGCGCAACCC
Molecule: ribosomal RNA, 1107 nt
Filed under: uncultured bacterium
Lineage: Bacteria
Description: bacterial SSU rRNA
Rfam family: Bacterial small subunit ribosomal RNA
Source: RNAcentral